RNAcentral lists this unclassified non-coding RNA (348 nucleotides) under soil metagenome. RNAcentral's name for it is "partial contains 5.8S ribosomal RNA, internal transcribed spacer 2, and large subunit ribosomal RNA". The stretch from base 1 to 120 matches the Rfam family "5.8S ribosomal RNA", at positions 35 to 154 of the family's 154-position model. The record is from RNAcentral.
GAUGAAGAACGUAGCGAAAUGCGAUAAGUAAUGUGAAUUGCAGAAUUCAGUGAAUCAUCGAAUCUUUGAACGCACAUUGCGCCCGCCAGUAUUCUGGCGGGCAUGCCUGUCUGAGCGUCAUUUCAACCCUCAUGCCCCUAGGGCGUGGUGUUGGGGAUCGGCCAAAGCCCGCGAGGGACGGCCGGCCCCUAAAUCUAGUGGCGGACCCGUCGUGGCCUCCUCUGCGAAGUAGUGAUAUUCCGCAUCGGAGAGCGACGAGCCCCUGCCGUUAAACCCCCAACUUUCCAAGGUUGACCUCAGAUCAGGUAGGAAUACCCGCUGAACUUAAGCAUAUCACUAAGCGGAGGA